RNAcentral lists this ribosomal RNA (253 nucleotides) under uncultured bacterium. RNAcentral's name for it is "partial 16S ribosomal RNA". It matches the Rfam family "Bacterial small subunit ribosomal RNA", at positions 524 to 776 of the family's 1533-position model. The record is from RNAcentral.
UACGUAGGUGGCAAGCGUUAUCCGGAAUUAUUGGGCGUAAAGGGAGCGUAGACGGCAGCACAAGUCUGGAGUGAAAUCCCAUGGCUUAACCAUGGAACUGCUUUGGAAACUGUGCAGCUGGAGUGCAGGAGAGGUAAGCGGAAUUCCUAGUGUAGCGGUGAAAUGCGUAGAUAUUAGGAGGAACACCAGUGGCGAAGGCGGCUUACUGGACUGUAACUGACGUUGAGGCUCGAAAGCGUGGGGAGCAAACAGG